GGGGAAUUUUCCGCAAUGGGCGAAAGCCUGACGGAGCAAUACCGCGUGAGGGAUGACGGCCUAUGGGUUGUAAACCUCUUUUUUCAGGGAGGAAAAAAAUGACNUUNCCUGAANAAUAAGCNUCGGCUAACUCCNUGCCAGCAGCCNCGGUAAGACGGAGGAUGCAAGUGUUAUCCGGAAUCACUGGGCGUAAAGCGUCUGUANGUGGUUUGAUAAGUCAACUGUUAAAUCUUGAGGCUCAACCUCGAAACCGCANUCGAAACUAUCAUACUAGAGUAUAGUANGGGUAAAGGGAAUUUCCAGUGGAGCGGUGAAAUGCGUAUAGAUUGGAAAGAACACCGAUGGCNAAGGCACUUUACUGGGCUAUUACUAACACUGANAGACNAAAGCUAGGGUAGCAAAUGGGAUUAGAUACCCCAGUAGUC
RNAcentral lists this ribosomal RNA (425 nucleotides) under uncultured cyanobacterium. Its description in RNAcentral is "partial 16S ribosomal RNA". It matches the Rfam family "Bacterial small subunit ribosomal RNA", at positions 356 to 795 of the family's 1533-position model. Lineage: Bacteria; Bacillati; Cyanobacteriota. The record is from RNAcentral.